GGUGGUUGUCCAGUGGUAGAACACUUGCCUGGCAUGCAUGGGGCCCUGGGAUUGACCCCCAGCACUG
Molecule: transfer RNA, 67 nt
Filed under: Marmota monax (woodchuck)
Lineage: Eukaryota; Metazoa; Chordata; Mammalia; Rodentia; Sciuridae
Description: tRNA.Ala
Source: RNAcentral